UGGUGGAGUGAUUUGUCUGGUUAAUUCCGAUAACGAACGAGACCUCAGCCUGCUAAAUAAGUCACGGUGUUCCGUGCUCAAACACGGAACUGCCGGAAGUACUUCUUAGAGGGACAAUUCGCCUCGAGCGGAUGGAAGUGAGGCAAUAACA
Molecule: ribosomal RNA, 151 nt
Filed under: uncultured eukaryote
Lineage: Eukaryota
Description: partial 18S ribosomal RNA
Rfam family: Eukaryotic small subunit ribosomal RNA
Source: RNAcentral